This 423-nucleotide long non-coding RNA is filed under the name Calidris pygmaea (Spoon-billed sandpiper). Its description in RNAcentral is "lncRNA (ENSCPGG00000015109.1)". Lineage: Eukaryota; Metazoa; Chordata; Aves; Charadriiformes; Scolopacidae. The record is from RNAcentral.
AGAGUCAUGGAAUGAAUCAGAAAGUUCUUACAGUGGGUCUACAUCAGUCUACCAGUGUUUCCCUCAGUCUCAGUGAGGAGACGUAUUGAUGCAGCUGAGCUCUACUAGGAAAACAAACAUAUGCAGAAUGUUGUUUGUCUUCAAUUCUAUGUUCCAGUAUGGAAUUCGCAGUAGAGUGGAUGGAAUCCUCACAUUUUCUAUGGAGCUUUCUGGAUCUCAGCCUGGACAAAAGACAAAGAAAGAAGCUCAGAGACACAACCCUUUCCAUCUUAUGGAGACAUGGCUGCCAUUGGCAUUCUGCAGGUCUGCAGACCAGUCUUAGAGCCAAAAGCUGGGAAGAGGUUUCUGAAGAAGCUGUCACAAGGCCCUGCCUGUCUGCUCUUCUGUCUCAAUGAGUAACAGAUUACAUCACAGUCCAAAAGA